UAGGGAAUCUUCCGCAAUGGACGCAAGUCUGACGGAGCAACGCCGCGUGAGUGAAGAAGGAUUUCGGUUCGUAAAACUCUGUUGUUAGAGAAGAACAGCGCAUAGAGUAACUGUUAUGCGUGUGACGGUAUCUAACCAGAAAGCCACGGCUAACUACGUGCCAGCAGCCGCGGUAAUACGUAGGUGGCAAGCGUUGUCCGGAUUUAUUGGGCGUAAAGCGAGCGCAGGCGGUCAAUUAAGUCUGAUGUGAAAGCCCCCGGCUCAACCGGGGAGGGUCAUUGGAAACUGGUUGACUUGAGUGCAGAAGAGGAGAGUGGAAUUCCAUAUGUAGCGGUGAAAUGCGUAGAUAUAUGGAGGAACACCAGUGGCGAAGGCGACUCUCUGGUCUGUAACUGACGCUGAGGUUCGAAAGCGUGGGUAGCAAACAGG
RNAcentral lists this ribosomal RNA (429 nucleotides) under Bacteroidota bacterium. RNAcentral's name for it is "Bacteroidetes bacterium partial 16S ribosomal RNA". It matches the Rfam family "Bacterial small subunit ribosomal RNA", at positions 355 to 776 of the family's 1533-position model. The record is from RNAcentral. Lineage: Bacteria; Pseudomonadati; Bacteroidota.